UACGGAGGAUGCGAGCGUUAUCCGGAUUUAUUGGGUUUAAAGGGUGCGCAGGCGGAUUUUUAAGUCAGUGGUCAAAUCGUGGGGCUCAACCCCAUCCAGCCGUUGAAACUGGGGAUCUAGAGUGUGCGAGAGGUAUGCGGAAUGCGUGGUGUAGCGGUGAAAUGCAUAGAUAUCACGCAGAACCCCGAUUGCGAAGGCAGCAUACCGGUGCACAACUGACGCUCAGGCACGAAAGCGUGGGUAUCGAACAGG
Molecule: ribosomal RNA, 252 nt
Filed under: uncultured bacterium
Lineage: Bacteria
Description: partial 16S ribosomal RNA
Rfam family: Bacterial small subunit ribosomal RNA
Source: RNAcentral